Molecule: ribosomal RNA, 457 nt
Filed under: uncultured bacterium
Lineage: Bacteria
Description: bacterial SSU rRNA
Rfam family: Bacterial small subunit ribosomal RNA
Source: RNAcentral
AACGAACGCUGGCGGCAGGCUUAACACAUGCAAGUCGAGCGCCCUGCAAGGGGAGCGGCAGACGGGUGAGUAACGCGUGGGAACAUACCCUUUGGUUCGGAAUAACUCAGGGAAACUUGAGCUAAUACCGGAUACGUCCGUAAGGAGAAAGAUUUAUCGCCAAAGGAUUGGCCCGCGUCCGAUUAGCUAGUUGGUGAGGUAACGGCUCACCAAGGCUACGAUCGGUAGCUGGUCUGAGAGGAUGAUCAACCACAUUGGGACUGAGACACGGCCCAAACUCCUACGGGAGGCAGCAGUGGGGAAUAUUGGACAAUGGGCGCAAGCCUGAUCCAGCCAUGCCGCGUGAGUGAUGAAGGCCUUAGGGUUGUAAAGCUCUUUGUCCGGGAAGAUAAUGACUGUACCGGAAGAAUAAGCCCCGGCUAACUUCGUGCCAGCAGCCGCGGUAAAGUGACUACUG